Molecule: non-coding RNA, 19 nt
Filed under: Arabidopsis thaliana (thale cress)
Lineage: Eukaryota; Viridiplantae; Streptophyta; Magnoliopsida; Brassicales; Brassicaceae
Source: RNAcentral
GUGUUCGAUGGUGAGACAU